UGAGGAAGACUUGGAAAGGGUGCCACUGCUCAGCCCUUCGUUACGCAUCCGCUGAAGAAAGAGAUUGAACAAAUGGGAGACUCUGUUUUCUGCCAGGUGUUUUGACAGUUUCACAGCAUCUGUUCUUACCUCCUCCAGGGUCUCAUCCUGUGGCGUGGCGGCACUGUCGUCAGAGUCUUUCUGCGAGCCAGUAGGCAGGCAAGCCACCUCCACACAGUGAUGACGCUCCUUGGGGAAUCUGUAGGAGGAAAAACCUUCAUCGAAGAGAAACGCAACGAGGAAAUGAAACAGGAUAAAGGGAGGCUUCAGGCUUUGAGAGAUAAUCCCUUUCAUUCAUGUUGAAAAUCAUUCUUUAGAGGCUUCAUAAAAACUAAAAAGUAUGAAUGUUACUGGAACCCACCCAAGAAUCGGAUUAAAGAUGGGAGCCUUUGACAUUGCAAUCACUUAGCUGUUUCAUGGAUGCAGAUGCAGCUGUUGAACAUUAAUUCAAGUGACUCACUUGAGCAACACUUAUGAAUGGCAGGUGUGAGUGUGGAGACUCUGCCUGUUCUCACACAGCCUGAGAAAAUGCAACGGCGCUACAUGUAAAUGUGCGUGCCAGCGGUUGAGCCUCUGAAAUACUUUUACUGCUCUCCGUUUAUAGGAAGCAUGUGUUCAUGCUUCACAUGCAAGUGGAGAAAACAAUGUAGUUCCCAGAAACGCUGACACGUCAGGCAUUGUGAAGAAACUAUUAAAAUCAUGUCCACUGACGUGAUUAGCGUGACCGAAUAAAAUUGUUGUCUUUGGACAAUAUGGGCUUCCGAUUUAAGAUUAUAUGAUCAAUUUGUCAUGAUUGAGCACAAUAAAAUGUUGAUUUGUA
Molecule: long non-coding RNA, 859 nt
Organism: Gambusia affinis (western mosquitofish)
Lineage: Eukaryota; Metazoa; Chordata; Actinopteri; Cyprinodontiformes; Poeciliidae
Exons: 3
Source: RefSeq, a predicted model, not a curated record